GCCCAGUUGGCGGAAUUGGUAGACGCGCUGGUCUCAAACACCAGUGGGAGACCGUGCCGGUUCGACUCCGGCACUGGGUA
This 80-nucleotide transfer RNA is filed under the name Pedobacter changchengzhani. It matches the Rfam family "tRNA". From Rfam's summary of the family: Transfer RNA (tRNA) molecules are approximately 80 nucleotides in length. Their secondary structure includes four short double-helical elements and three loops (D, anti-codon, and T loops). Lineage: Bacteria; Pseudomonadati; Bacteroidota; Sphingobacteriia; Sphingobacteriales; Sphingobacteriaceae. The record is from Rfam by way of RNAcentral.